RNAcentral lists this long non-coding RNA (252 nucleotides) under Neogale vison (American mink). RNAcentral describes it as "Neovison vison (American mink) lncRNA (ENSNVIG00000019969.1)". The record is from RNAcentral. Lineage: Eukaryota; Metazoa; Chordata; Mammalia; Carnivora; Mustelidae.
GGCGCGGGUCAGUGGUGGGAGUCCCUGCUCUUCCACGUAUCGGAUUCCACGUGGGAGGACUCUGUCCUUCCAGAAAGGAGGAAAUGACCAAGUUCCAGAUUUGUUGGAUUUAUUGUGAGAUAUUUCUCUGCAUACUUGAUGUGAGCAUCAUUAAGGUACGUAAGAUGGGUUAUUCAUCUUUUAUGCUCUGAUUGCUUUGUUCCCUUUACCAAAAUAUCUACAUGUUUAAUUGGUACAAUAAAUUGUUAAAUU